Molecule: long non-coding RNA, 6520 nt
Filed under: Olea europaea subsp. europaea
Lineage: Eukaryota; Viridiplantae; Streptophyta; Magnoliopsida; Lamiales; Oleaceae
Source: RNAcentral
CGACGAGGUUUUCCAUAUAUAUCUGUGUAUACAAAUGCUUGCAGUGUUGUUUAGAGGAAGAAAGGUGACAAGUUAGCAGAGAAGAAGAAUGGCUUCCAAACCAGGGAUCCUUACUGAAUGGCCAUGGACAUGUCUUGGGAACUUCAAGGUAUCCCCCCCCCCAACCCUCUCUCUGUAUAUAUGUGUAUGUAUAUGUAUAAACAUACUCACAUUUGAGCUGCUGUAAUAAUAUGUUUCCAUUUUCAACGUGGAUAAAGUAUCUGAUAUUGGCUCCGUGGGUGAUUCAAGCAACGUACUCGUUCAUGAUGGAGGAUGAAGCUGAAAGGGAUUUUUCUCACUUUUUUAUAUUCCCAUUUUUGCUAACAAGAAUGCUUCAUAGCCAAUUCUGGAUUUCUCUCUCUCGUUAUCGAACUGCAAAAGGUAGCAACAGGAUAGUCGAUAAGAGCAUCGAAUUUGAGCAAGUUGAUAGAGAAAGAAACUGGUACACAUACAUAUAAACCCCCUUCCAACUUCUCUAUUAUCUUGUACUAUAUACUUACUUCCUCGACUGCAUUUGUGCGAGAAGCAUAAAAUAAAACUUGCAGUGAAAAAGUGAUUGAAGGCGAACUAAUGUAAAUCUAUCUGCCUAAAUUUCUUAAUUUACUCAUUAUUUUACUUUUUGUAUUGUUUGAUAUCAGAUCUACCUUACUAAUAAGACAAAUAUAAAACCCAUUUUACAGGGAUGAUCAAAUAAUAUUUAAUGGCAUAUUACUCUAUUUGCUGUUCAUGUAUAUCAAGGAGGUUCAUCAUCUGCCUGUAUGGAGGACAAAUGGAGUGAUAUUGACAAUUUUACUUCAUACUGGUCCAGUCGAGUUCAUCUAUUACUGGCUACACAGGGCACUGCACCACCACUUCCUCUACUCCCGCUACCAUUCCCACCACCACUCCUCCAUUGUUACUGAACCCAUUACAUGUAAGAAAAAGAAGCCCUUUUAAAUAGAUAAUAGAAAAGAAUAAUGUUAUUUGUACGUAAUGAAGUUACGUAAUGGUUUAUGUACAUAUUAGGUUUCAAAAAAAGAGUGUUGAUUUUUUUUUUUUUUUUUUUGGUUGAAGAAUUUCUGUCCAUUCACGUUUCACCAUAUAUAUGUAAACCAUUAUGUACACGUAGUACAACUGAAUAGAAAAUUGGACUGUAUGGAGAGUGAAAUUCGGAUUACCUAGAUGCCAAUGAGUAGGAUUUCAAUAAGAAUUUCAUAGAUGCAGAAUAUAUAUGUCCACAUUUAUUCUAACCACAGCCUUAUUUUUGUUUUAUCAGCUGUAAUUCAUCCAUUUGCAGAGCAUAUUGCAUAUUUUCUGCUCUUCGGUAUACCAAUUCUUACGACUAUGCUGACUGGGACUGCUUCCAUCGCUUCAUUUUCUGGUUAUAUUACAUAUAUUGACUUCAUGAACUACAUGGGUCACUGCAACUUUGAGCUCAUUCCCAAAUGGUUUUUCUCCAUGUUUCCCCCUCUCAAGUUCAUAAUGUACACGCCUUCGUAAGUAAUUUUAUUCCUAAUCAAAGGCAUGGCUCGUGCACAAUGUUAAAAGAUCAUCUGCUACACAAUCACGUUAAAACCACCUAUUUAAUGACGUGCACGUAGUCUGUCCCUUCCUCCUGAUUGAUGUUGAUUCUCUUAUAGAAGACUUGAGAAUCCAGCUGAUAAUUUAUUUGCUAAUGCAGGUUUCACUCUCUUCAUCAUACUCAAUUCAGAACCAAUUACUCGCUUUUCAUGCCAUUCUACGAUUAUGUCUAUGGAACAGUAGACGAAUCCUCCAACUUUUUAUAUCACACUUCACUCGGGAGAAAGGAAGAAGCACCUCAUGUUGUGCAUCUAACUCAUUUGACAACCCCAAAUUCCAUCUAUCAUCAACGUCUAGGUUUUGCAUCACUAGCCUCAAGGCCUCAUAAUUCUACUUGGUACUUGUGGUUAAUUUGGCCCAUCACACUUUGUUCUGCAACUGUAACAUGGAUAUAUGGACGCACGUUCAUUGUGGAGAGAAAUAUUUUCAAGCAUCUAAAAUUGCAAACCUGGGCUAUUCCUAAAUACAGCAUCCAGGUAAGAAAAUUACAUUUUAAGUCAUUUAAGAAUAAGGAGUACGAGUUUCACACAUAAGUUGUGCUUUUCAAGAUAAUGAUUUCUUCUUUUCGCAGUACUACAUGAAAUGGCAAAGAGAAUCUAUCAAUAAUGCGAUUGAAGAAGCUAUACUGGAAGCUGAGGAUAAAGGAAUUAAGAUUUUGAGCCUUGGUUUAUUGAAUCAGGCAAGUCUUACCGCAUGUUUGGCCAAGCUAAAUUAAGGGGCUGUUUGGAAGACAUUUUUAUGUAAAAAUAUAUUUUUGAAUAGAAAUGUGUGGUUGAAAAAUAAAGAAAAGUUUUUGAUUUACAUGUAAUAUUAUUUUAAUAAAGAAUAUGUGGUUGAAAAGAAAAGAGAGAAAAAUGUAUUUUGAAAAAAAUGGGUAUCAAACGGGGAAUAACUUAUUUUGAUUGUCAAAUGCUUACUUUCAAAACAGCUAAAUUAAGUAAAUAACUUAUUUUGACUGUCAAAUGCUACUUUCAAAACAUGCAGCUCUUAGCAAAACAUGCUCUUAAUUUAGAGAUAAGAACUUCUUUUAGUCCUGGACACAAAAUGGAUGUAGGAUUCUUAAAAUUUCUGAAAUGUAUUCACUACUUAUGCAGCAGGAGGAGUUGAACAGGAAUGGUGAGAUGUAUAUAAGAAGGCAUCCUCAGCUAAAACUGAAGCUGGUUGAUGGAAGUAGUUUAGUUGUUGCUGUUGUGAUUAACAGCAUUCCGAAAGGAGCAACUCGGGUGAUCCUUCGAGGUGAAUUAUCAAAAGUUGCUUACUCCCUUGCCUUUGCCUUGUGUAAAGGGGGGAUCCAGGUGAGUUCAACAUUAGUAAUGUCAUAGCAGACUAGUUUAUGAAACCUUGGAAAAUAAGGAGGAUUAUUUAGUAAUAAUAUUCCCCAACUGUUUAGGGCAUGUUUGGUAAGUUGGUACUGAAUAAGAUUUUAGAUUUUUUGGUCCAUUUAAUACAUUUUGGAUGGUAUAACAUUUUACUUUGUUGGUUUGGCCAAUUCUGUCUUCUGGUCAUAGGUAAGCGCAGUACGUCAAGAGGAGCAUAAAAAGCUUAAAGAAGGGCUUGGAAAUACUGAGGCAGCUAAUAAUUUAGUUCAAUAUUCCGAAAGCUUUGUUACAAAGGUAAACUUUAUUCUCCCUAUUGUUUAAUGCAGUUUUCCAUCCUCUUUAGUUAAAGAAGAAGAUGAAGUUUACAUUUCUCUACUUAAUUACAAUCAACAUAUAUUCCGAAUAGUACACUAAUCGGCAAUCUCAGUAUGUUCAACUCGACCACACUCAAUACAAUAUAGUGUUGAAUACCAAUCGUGUCAUAACUCCAUAUACUUUCUAAAGGUGCAGCAAAUCUCCAUCUUCUUCAGUUGUUUUUCUUAACCCCAACAGAAAACUUUAAACCAUUACUUUUAUAAUAUAAGUAUUUUCUUUCCUCAUGUGAUAUUAAUGAAAUGAACAAAUGUUAAUCUUUUAGGCAUGGUUAGUGGGAGAUGGACUAAGUGAAGAUGAACAAUCAAAGGCAUUGGAAGGAACAAUAUUCAUCCCAUUCUCACAAUUUCCUCCGAAGAAAAUGCGCAAAGACUGCUUCUACAACAACACUCCAUCGAUGUUGGCUCCCAAGCAUCUUGAAAACAUCGACUCUUGCGAGGUUGGCUGGAGUUUUAUGCUUUCUUUUUCAUCAUUUGGAAAUAUCACUUCACAUUAUGCUCAACAAAGAAACCCUGUCACAGUAUAAUAUGUUAAAGUGCUUGGUUGGCCUGGUAUGGACAUUUUUGUUUUAUCUAUGUUUUUUGUUUGCUCCGCCACUCUUCAAAAAAAUAAAUAAAUAAAACAAUAAUAAUAAGAAAACAAUUUGUCUGAAAAGUACAAGAACAGGAUCUCCUGCCCACCCCGGCCCAGGCAAGUGUUUAAACAUAUGAAUGGUUUUACACAGGAUGGUAACAAUUACCCGGAAUCGGUUGCGUUGAACUAGAUUAGUCUAUGGGGUUCUACCAAAAGAAACUUCAAAAUUUGGUCAUUUUUAACCUAAAAAACAAUUUCUUAUAAUAUCUGAAUUUAUUUUAUUGGUGUAUAUGCGCAGAAUUGGUUGCCAAGAAGGGUGAUAAGUGCAUGGCGGGUAGCAGGAAUUGUUCAUGGUUUAGAAGAUUGGAAUGUGCACGAAUGUGGAGACAUGAUACUCAACACUGAGAAAAUCUGGGAAGCCACUAUACGCCAUGGAUUCCGUCCUCUGACAGUGUCCACUCUAUCAAACGGCCCAUAUUAGACUGCAUUUUGUGCUCUUCAUUAAAUUUACUGGAUGUAUUUCCUUCUAUUUUAUCUAGUGUAUAAUGCAAAUAUUGCAAGAAUAAAACCGAGUCUGUUGGCAGGUGUGGUGUCUUUCAUUUAUGCAUAAUUCUUUACCUGUUAUUCUGUUAAUGAAGUCAUUCUCAAGCCCUUUGACGGGCGUGUGACAUGUACCUGAGACUUAUUGUGAUAAAGUAUAUACAAGCUGUGUAUCUAUUAUAGCAUCUGGCGCAUCAAAUCUGUGAGUUGGCUAAUGUGCACCUGAGGGACCUUGGUUGGGUUGUUGUAACUAUAUUUGAUUCUCACGUGUAUAGCACAUGUAUUCUUGCUUGCUCCCCACUCCAUAGACGUGUAUAAAUUGUACCCUGCCUCCGUGUAAAUGCAUCAAGUGAAAUUCAUCAAUAUACAAGCAUAAUUCCCCAUUAUACAAUUAUGCUAUUUUUAACUUGGUAUCAGAGCUAAUGAUGGUUAACGCCAGGUCCAAUGACAACGCACAAUCAGCUCAACCAGCUUCAAGCACCUAAUGCCUUCAAUGUUGGGAGGAAAUCAGAUUUCAUCUUUUGGGAUAAGCCUUACCCAAAUUCCAUGAGUAAAGCUUGACAGGAACAAUUUCCUGUUGUGGAAGAACAUGGUUAUGCCCAUCAUCAAGGGUCAUAAUCUGGAAGGUUUCAUCAAAAGAACAAAGGCCUGUCCAUCAGAAUUUCUGGGAACGGAGACUACUGGUCCUACUGGUGUUACUGUUGAAAUGACCCUAAACAUUGAGUACGAUAAAUGGAUAUCUACCGAUCAACUGCUUAUGGGAUGGCUUUAUUCAUCAAUGACACCAGAAAUUGUCAUAAGAGUAAUGGGAUCCUCCAACUCCUGCAGCCUCUGGAAUGCAGUCCAGGAAAGCUUUGGAGUCAUGGACAAAUCGAGGGUAAUUUUCCUUGUUAGUGAGCUUCAAAGGACAAGGAAAGGAUCAAUGAGUAUUGAUCAAUACCUGAAACACGAUUAAACAGCUAGCAGACAAUUUUGAAAUUGCUGGAAAAACCAUGUCUCACAAUGAUCUUGUCACACAAGUACUAGCUAGGCUGGAUGAAGAAUACACUCCCAUUGUAGUUCAAAUCAACAGUAGAGAAUCCAUCUCUUGGCAUGAACUGCAAUCUGUACUCAUGACAUAUUAAAGCAGAAUUGAGCACCUCAAUGCUGUGAGAAAUAGCCUAGCCUCAGUUAAAUUAAGUUAAGCCUCAGCAAACUUUGUGCAUAAAUCAAAUGUAAAUAGAGGAGGAAGAUCUAACUAUAGUGGAAGAGUUAGCAACUACAGAGGAGGAAGAAGCCGUGGUAGAGGAAUCAGGCAAAUUAGAAGUAAAGGACCUUGUCAAAUCUGUGGAAUGAUCAAUCAUUCAGCUGAAAGAUGCUACAAUCGAUAUGAUGAGAGGUAUAUGGGUACCAAACCUAAUCAAAAAUAUCAAAACGAUUCCUCUGAACUAGCUGCCUUUAUAGCUUCACCAAUCACCAUUACAAAUCCAGCUUGGUUUGCUGAUUCUGGAGCAAGCAAUCAUGUCACUGCUGAGCAAGGAAACCCAAUUGAGGCACAUGAGUAUGGUGGUAAGGAAAAACUGAUUGUUGGUAAUAGAAACAAACUUCACAUCUCACAUAUUAGCAUUAAGCACCUAAACACAUUAAGUGACAGAUUAUUAGUUCUCAGUAAUAUGUUAUUGGUACCAUCAAUUAAGAAGAAUUUAAUAAGCAUGUCACAGUUAACAUUUGAUAAUGGCGUGUUUAUGGAAUUUCACACUGAUUUUUGUGUUGUCAAGGACAAACAAACGAAGGAAGUGCUGUUGGAAGGGAAGCUUAAGGAUGGAUUGUAUCAAAUUGAGCACUCAAAUCAAAUCAAAAGGCCCUCCUAUCAAGAGUCAGUCUAUCCAAAUAAGUUGAAAUCUUCAGCAUUUGUUGUUGAGUCUAACGAGUCUGAUAUUUCUGAAAGUACCAGUGAGUAUGAGUCUAAGUUGAAAUUGUGGCAUAUGAGACUUGGACAUCCUACAGUUCCUGUGAUGUCACAAGUACUCAAAUUCUGUAAUGAGAAAGUUGAUGUUAAUAAUGUCAAUCAAUUCUGUAAUGCUUGCCAAUUUGGUAAAUCACUCUCUUUACCAUUCAAACUAUCUACAUCGCAUGCA